Molecule: long non-coding RNA, 641 nt
Organism: Pyrgilauda ruficollis (rufous-necked snowfinch)
Lineage: Eukaryota; Metazoa; Chordata; Aves; Passeriformes; Passeridae
Exons: 2
Source: RefSeq, a predicted model, not a curated record
GGUAUUUGCUAACCCAGCUUUUUUUCUUUUUUGAGGGGGUUUCUCGCCCCCAGAUGAGUUCGACUUCUUCCCAUUGGUCAUCGGCGGCGGCGUGGGCGUGGUCUUGCUGCUCCUGGUGAUCUUAUUGGCUGCUUGGCUGUGGCGGAGGAGGAGGGGGCGUUCCCGCUGGCGGGGGCUGCGCCCCGGCGACGACACCGGGACCCUCCGCAUGGGGGACCUCGAGGCGGCCGCCUGAGCCAGGCCACGCCCACCAAGAUGGCCGCCGGUGCGCCCAGACCAUGCCCCCAAGAUGGCCGACAACUCGCAGACCACGCCCCCAAAUGAUGCUGAGACCACGCCCCCAAGAUGGCUGAUAAUUCGCAGACGACGCCCCAAAAAUGGCAUCAAGACCACACCCCCAAGAUGGCUGACAAUUUGCAGGCCACGCCCCCAAACAAUACUGAGGCCACGCCCCCAAGAUGGCCACCAGCUCAAAGGCCACGCCCCCAAAAUGGCUGAAAAAACAAAGGCCACACCCGAAUAUGGCUGACAAAAUAAAGGCCACGCCCCCAAUAUGGCCAGUAAGGCUGAGGCCCCGCCCCCAAAAUGGCGGAAGUGGGUGGGGCCAGGCCAAGGCAGCCAGUGGGGAUUGGUGGAUCCGA